GACGAACGCUGGCGGCGUGCUUAACACAUGCAAGUCGAACGGAAAGGCCCUGCUUGUGUGGUGUUCGCGAGUGGAGCGCGGGUGUGUAACGCGUGAGUAAUGUGCUGCACCUCGUGGUAUGCCUUGGGAACUGGGGGUAUUACCCCAGAUGGGCCAUCUUGAGUGUUGUGGGGGGUUAGAAUUUUCGGUUGGGUAGGGGCGCGCGGCCUAUUAGUUUGUGGGUGGGUUAGUGGCUUACUAAGGCCGCGACUGGUAGCUGGCCUGAGAGGGUGACCGGCCACAUUGGGACUGAGACACGGCCCAGACUCCUACGGGAGGGAGCAGUGGGGAAUAGUGCACUAUGGGCGGGAGCGUGAUGCAGCAACGCCGUGUGCGGGAUGACCGCUUGCGUUGUGUACACCGCUUUCGCCGGUGGCGAAGUGUGAGUGACGGUAAUGGGUAAAGAAGCACCGGCUAACUACGUG
This 464-nucleotide ribosomal RNA is filed under the name uncultured bacterium. Its description in RNAcentral is "partial 16S ribosomal RNA". It matches the Rfam family "Bacterial small subunit ribosomal RNA", at positions 28 to 507 of the family's 1533-position model. The record is from RNAcentral.